RNAcentral lists this transfer RNA (281 nucleotides) under uncultured Bartonella sp. Its description in RNAcentral is "partial miscellaneous RNA". The stretch from base 91 to 164 matches the Rfam family "tRNA". Lineage: Bacteria; Pseudomonadati; Pseudomonadota; Alphaproteobacteria; Hyphomicrobiales; Bartonellaceae. The record is from RNAcentral.
CUUCAGAUGGAUGAUCCCAAGCCUUCUGGCGACCUGACAGAUUGUAAGGUGCGUUGCCGGUAGGUUUGCCGGUAGACGUAAGUUUGCCGAGGGCUUGUAGCUCAGUUGGUUAGAGCGCGCGCUUGAUAAGCGUGAGGUCGGAGGUUCAAGUCCUCCCAGGCCCACCAAUAUUUGCGCUCAUAAUGUAUUGGCUUUUAGCCUUUGUGUUGUUGAGAUAAAGUUUAGGGGCCAUAGCUCAGCUGGGAGAGCACCUGCUUUGCAAGCAGGGGGCCCGUCGGUUC